UACGUAGGGUCCGAGCGUUGUCCGGAAUUACUGGGCGUAAAGAGCUCGUAGGUGGUUUGUCACGUUGUUCGUGAAAACCCACAGCUCAACUGUGGGCGUGCGAGCGAUACGGGCAGACUAGAGUACUGCAGGGGAGACUGGAAUUCCUGGUGUAGCGGUGGAAUGCGCAGAUAUCAGGAGGAACACCGGUGGCGAAGGCGGGUCUCUGGGCCGAUACUGACGCUGAGGAGCGAAAGCGUGGGGAGCGAACAGG
RNAcentral lists this ribosomal RNA (253 nucleotides) under uncultured bacterium. RNAcentral's name for it is "partial 16S ribosomal RNA". It matches the Rfam family "Bacterial small subunit ribosomal RNA", at positions 524 to 776 of the family's 1533-position model. The record is from RNAcentral.